This 468-nucleotide ribosomal RNA is filed under the name uncultured bacterium. RNAcentral's name for it is "partial 16S ribosomal RNA". It matches the Rfam family "Bacterial small subunit ribosomal RNA", at positions 28 to 507 of the family's 1533-position model. The record is from RNAcentral.
GACGAACGCUGGCGGCGUGCUUAACACAUGCAAGUCGAACGGAAAGGCCCUGCUUUUGUGGGGUGCUCGAGUGGCGAACGGGUGAGUAACACGUGAGUAACCUGCCCUUGACUUUGGGAUAACUUCAGGAAACUGGGGCUAAUACCGGAUAGGAGCUCCUGCUGCAUGGUGGGGGUUGGAAAGUUUCGGCGGUUGGGGAUGGACUCGCGGCUUAUCAGCUUGUUGGUGGGGUAGUGGCUUACCAAGGCUUUGACGGGUAGCCGGCCUGAGAGGGUGACCGGCCACAUUGGGACUGGGAUGCGGCCCAGACUCCUACGGGAGGCAGCAGUGGGGAAUAUUGCACAAUGGGCGGAAGCCUGAUGCAGCAACACCGCGUGCGGGAUGACGGCCUGCGGGUUGUAAACCGCUUUCGCCUGUGACGAAGCGUGAGUGACGGUAAUGGGUAAAGAAGCACCGGCUAACUACAUG